This 8055-nucleotide long non-coding RNA is filed under the name Sus scrofa (pig). RNAcentral describes it as "lncRNA (ENSSSCG00035018062.1)". The record is from RNAcentral. Lineage: Eukaryota; Metazoa; Chordata; Mammalia; Artiodactyla; Suidae.
UCUUUUUGUGCAUUUAUAUUUGCAGUAACGUAAGUAAACAUUCAAAAGCAGUUUACCUUAUCUGCACCAAUUGUGUUUUCUCAUAAUUGAAAAAUUACACUUUAAUUGUAGGAUGACUCUUUAGCAGGAGUUUCUGCCUCAUGGAUGGGGGUUUGAUCCCUGGCCUCGCCCAGUGGGUUAAGGAUCCGGCGUUGCCAUGAGCUCUGGUGUGGGUCACAGAUGUGGCUUGGAUCCCGCGUUGCUGUGGCUGUGGUGUAGGCCCGCAGCUGUAGCUCCAAUUCGACUCCUAGGCAGGGAACUUCCAUAAGCCACAGGUGCAGUCCUAAAAAGGAAGGAAGAAAGGAAGAAAUUGGAUGGGGAGAUAAAACUGUGAUAAAUGGAAAAAUGCUUAUAGUAUUGAAUAGAUUCAUGGAAUAGGACACACAAGUAACAUGGACAAUUGAAAAUCUGAUUUGAUUAGGGAGGUCUAACCAUUUUGUUAAAUGAACACUUUGAAGUUUCAUUGCAGCAAAGGAAACCCCUUAUAGGUUAGUGUUGGCUAUUAGCAUUAGUUUAAAGUUACCAAACAACGAGAUUACAGCAGAAUUUUAAAAAUUUCUAUACAUCUUGGUUUGCUAAUUGUGCUUUAUUUUACCUUUAGAAAGAUUUUUUGUUUGUUUUUUAGAGCCGUACCCACGGCAUAAAGAAAUUUCCAGACUAGAGGGUCAAAUUGGAGCUACAGCUUCCAGCCUACGCCACAGCCACAGCCACGGCAACGCAGAAUCCAAGCUGUGUCUGUGACUUACAUCACAGCUCACAGCGGUACCGAGUCACUGACCCACUGAGUGAGGCCAGGGAUCAAACCCACGUCCUCAUGGAUACUAGUCGGAUUCGUUCCACUGCACCAUAAUGGGAACUUCCGAGAAAGAUAUUUUUAAAUCAUGAGCAAUGAUAGUAUUAAAAUGUGUAAGGAACCAUGGUAUUCUCUGCUUGGUGAAAGGGGGAGAUCUUUGAGCUUUAUGUACCCCAGACAUGUCCCAAAUUGGACAAGAGGAUUCAGACCUCUUGUUCACUACUUUGACAGCUCUACCCAUCCCUCCUCCGCUCCCGAGGAGCCAUUGAUGUGGGUUCAAGGGGAAGGACAUUUAUUAGGUUAUGGUCUCAAGCGUGCUGUCUGUUAGGAUUCUCCCUUAUUUUUUUCCACAUGGCGGGUGUGUCUGAUCAGCCUAAGAUUGCCUCUGCUUGGAAGAUCGCAAGACAUCCUCCGUAGGAAGGGCUGGCUUAGGCCAAUUCAAUUACCUGCUUUGCAUCUUCAUGAAAAUCUCUUCCUAUUGAUUUGUGUUCUUAUACAAUUCUUUGUGUUUCUCUCCGACAGGGGAAUGGUAAACUAAAGAGCUGAGAUAAGGGUGUGGACCUGUAGGAUAGAAAGCAAAGAAGCUGCCCAGCCUGUUUUUGUUCUUGGCUUGGGCGGUGGUAGGCUGGUAAAUGUUCUAACAACCGGAUCUCUAGAAAGAAGUGUGUAUCCAUAUAUAAUGAAAUGUAAGUCUACUAGAAAUUUUCCUGAUGUACAAAAAAUAUACAUGUAACUCACAAAUUUAAUAGAAUAUACAAUUUUCUCUUUAAUAUGCUCUUAUUUAAUAUACUAUUAAAUACAGUACAUGCAUACAGUAAGAACUCGAUAAAAUACAAAGUUCACAAACAAUAAAACAUACAAUACCCUUUAUUAUGUAUUUUAUAUAGCUCAGCUGCCGGCCUACGCCACAGCCACAGCAACGCAGUGAUUCGCAAAGAAUGCUUUAAGUCUCGUUCCCCACAUGAAUGUUGGUUGAUGGUUUUCUUUACAUGAAAUAGUCAACUGAUUGCUGAAACAAGGAAGACAUCAUAUUUUGGAAUUUUGCUUGUUUGUCAGCAAAGAGAGAGUAACAUCUUCUCUAAAAUCAGGCAAUUUUCAAAUAUUGAAAGACUAUUUCUUCUACUUUUGUGCUAUUCACAAUGUGCUAGCUACAGGCAUGACAUGUUUUUAAGUUUAAUAUGCAUUAUUUACACUUUUCCAUCAUUUUCUCAUAUCUAGAGACAAUCUAAUAAAUCAAGCCCCCAUUUUUAGUGUUUGCUGAUUUCCAUGGUAUAAAUGUUUGGAUCUCAAGUUACCAACGUGAUCUCCCUGAGCAUGGACUUGGGAAGAGAUGCAUGGCCGUAGACCAUUACAUAGCAUUUCCCACCACUCCAUAUACAACAGAUGUGAAAACCUCAAGAACACAGAUAAUAGUAAAAUGUGGUGAGUGAGUAGGACAUGAUGAGCUUUGAGUAUUAGCUUUGGUUUUGAUAUAAUUUAUUUAAUAGUAAACUUAUAUAACUUUUGAUAACGGUUUGCAUGAUGCCUGAAAAUUCAGCAGUCAGCUCUUGUGAGCUGGGACAAGCCAGCCUCAGCUCAUCACUGACCUUAGGCCCUCCGACUCAAAUCACUGGUUCCCUGAUGCCAGCAGUGGUGGGGCCAGGAGACAUCCCAAUGUGCUGUGCUUUUUUUUUUUUGCUUUUUUUUAGGGCCGCACCCGCAGCAUUUGGAGGUUCCCAGGCUAGGAUCCAGUUGGAGCUACAGCUGCUGGCCUACACCACAGCCACAGCAACACUGUGCUGUGCUUUUUAAAAUACAGAAUCUGGGGCGUUCCUGUUGCUCAGUGGGUUAAGUACCCAACUAGUAACCAUGAGGACGCGGAUUCAGUCUGUCUUAACCCACUCACCCAGUGAGUUAAGAAUCCAGUGUUGCCACGAGCUGUGGUGGUGUGGGUCACAGAUAUGGCUCAAAUCCCGUGUUGCUAUGGCUGUGGUGUAGACUGGCAGCCAUAGCUCUGAUUUGAGCUGAGAACUUACAUAUGCCACAGGUACGGCCCUAAUGAGAGAAAAAGAAAAAAAAAAAAAAAAAAAUCCGGGGCCCCACCCCUGGGGAUAAAUCUGGAAUAAUACUCGAAACUAUAAUUGAGAACAAAACCAAACCAAACCAAACCUCCAAGUGGUCCUGAUGGGCAACCAGACGUAGGAACCAUUGCUCUGUCCAAGCCAGCUCACCAGAUCCCUCACAUCAGGAUUUGAAGCAGGAGUCCCAUCACCACUUUGUCUUUCUUCGCCUGGCCUUGUUCUCUGCUCACAUAUUGUAUCCCUUUGGAACCUCAUGGGGGAGAGGGUAGAAUGGGGGCUGAGAAGAGGGAGUUCUCGUGUUUGAGAUCCUGGGACUUGGCCCCUUUUUCUGCCACUGUUGACAUGGGGUAUCUUGGCUAGCCCCACCAUGUAUCACUACAGAGGUAGAAACCACCCCAUUUUCUCAGUUCCUAACCAGAAAUCAGGCCCUUAGACAAUACUGAAAAAGCAGAACUGGAUAUGAAAGGCUGUGGGCUGCAUGUGAAAGGCUGGUUAGUUGGAACCUUGAGAUCUUUUGCUGGCUACUGACUCAUGGGGAAGUUCUGACUCGGUAGCCCACAUUUUCAUGUCUUUGUUUAGUAAAGCUUAACAGCAAAGUGUGAUUGGCUCCUGUGUGGGUGUGGAGCCUGCUCGACAAAUGUAAAAGAACGAGAGAGCCUCCAUCGUUUUUUAAAAUUAGUUCAGGAAAACCUGAAAUUAGAACUCAGAAAGUAGGAAAUAAUGUCAUGUUUUCAAAAGGUCUUCUGCUUUGUGAAAAGCAUCAAGUUACAGAGAGAGCACCCUUUGGAUAAUUUUAAAUGGUGCUUACAAAAUCCUCACGGAUGUAAAUGGUCAUAGAAAUACCCCUGUUGCAUUAAGCAUACUGCACCUGUAUUCCCUGAACGGUAUCCAGAACCUGACUUAUAGCUGUGAAAUAGGAAAUGCGACCCAGCUGAGGCGUGGGGGGAAAAAUGGGGAGUGACAUACCACCGUAAGUGUACCUUUGGGGACAGUCACAACACCCAGGCUAAGUCACUUGCAGGCACCGUGACUGAGGCAGCAAUUUUGAAACUGCUUCUGUCCCUACAACACAUCCUGGCCAAUGUGUUACUAAUGAAAGUGAAGGAACCUUAGCCUUAGUGAAAGCCUUAAACUUGUCUUUUAAAUUCCUGAAACAUCAAUUAUAAAACAUAUAUGAGGGGAAAAAUUAUGGGUUGUGGAACAGGGAGGCCGGCACAUGAAAUCAGAUAAACCUGAAGUUGUACUAGCUCACAGAAUCCUAUUCUUUAUUAAUUAGCUCAACCCACAACUUCUCACGGAAAUUGUAAAAACCCAUUGGGGGCAGGAGGUGGCAGGACUUGUUCAAGGAUCAUUGGGAAUCAAAUUGUGCUCCUAAGCAGGUUCCAGGUCCUCUGAUGAACCUUAAGUACAUUAGUCCACAUGAGGUAUGCUACAGAUAGACAUGAAAAUAGAUGAUUAGGGCAUUAUUUGAGUUGGCUUUAAGUAAUGAUAUUUUCUAUCUAAAAGCGUCUUUAAACUCUGUCAAUGCCUAAUUUCAAAGGGAAAGUGUCUAACUUGGUAUGACAGGCAGGCUGCUCUUGGGCAUGGAGAACAGGGAUUGGAAACAGCAGCAAGCAAACCACGUGACUUGUUUUACUAAGUUGCUAGUGCCUCACAUUUGGGCUGAGACUGUUUACUCUCCUUCUACCUUAGCUGUUCCAGCUUGGACACGUGGACUCUUCUGUGCAGCAGCAUGCUCAGGGCACCAAGGAAACCUACUGGUCUCCCGUCCCUUUCACUGCAUUUCUCACCGCUUCCCUCACCCCCAUAUUUGGAAGGUUAGACGAGAGGGGCUUGCUCACUUGUGUCUCUGCCAUCCCACUCUCCUCCCAUCUGCAAGAGCCGUGUAUAGUGCUCUCUGCUACCUGGAGCCCCCAUUCCAUGACCUAGGCAGAAAGAUCCUAUCCCAGGAAGGCGUCCAGGAUGAUCACUAGACUGUGACAUCUGCAGACCAGAGUCAGGACAAGCGCAGCUCUCUGAAAGCCCAAGGAAGGUCGUGGCUGUAAGUCUCUGGGAAAGGUAGACUGAUGCCGUGAACCGGUGCUAAGCCUUGACUAGUCUCCGCAUGCCCUGUGUGCUGUCCCUGGGGCCAAAAAGCAGUGCUAGUCAUCACGCAGGGGGAAAUAGAAUCACUAACUUUCAUAAACUUAGCGGGCAUUUUGUCCUUUCAUGAUACCAUUCUGUAUUGGAAUUCUGCUCUCUUUCCUUCCAUGGCUCCUCUCUUAGCCCAAGGGACAACGUGACUCUCCAGCCUCGCCCUCAGUUGUGUCCCUCUCCUGCAUCCACAUGGAACCAUCUUUUGUUUGGUCUCCCUCAGAAUGACCAAUACUUGCCCUUUAAAACUCAGGUCAAGCAUCACUUCUUAGCUCUUGUGUGUAUUCUGGGACCUUUCAGGUGGAGUCAGACAGUCCUCUGCACACCUACAAAUGCCUUGUGGAUCCUUCCUUAGAGCACUUCCCACUGUAUCUAAUCAUGACCUUUCUUAUUCACCCAAUUAUGAAGACCAUGUUUCUGCAGCUCUGUCUCCGGCAUCCAGCAAAAGGGCUUGGCACAUGGUAAUUCCUCAGUCAGUGGUUGAACAAAUAAAUGAACUGUUGCAUGCUCAGAAAUUAAAAUGAAUUUGAAGAGAGGAGAGAAAAAGACAAAGGAUUUGUCUCUGAGCUCAAUUCUCAAAGACAGAAUCUGAACACUCUUCAGUGACCCCGCCUGUGAUUGGUGAGUGCUGGAAAUCUGACAGCAUGUGACUCAGGUAUUCCUAAGAAUAUAAAGCCUUGAGAAAGGGCAAACACUAUUCAGGAAGAGCUUGAAAUAAAAAUUAUCAUUAAACAAACACUGAGGGAGAGCUGUCUUUGGUAAGAAAUAUGCUCUAAGCAUGCAUCAGGAUUCAGAACAAAUAAAUCUAGAUAAAUGGGAGAUUGUAUCAAAAGGAACCUGUUUUGUUAGCUGGAAAGUUACGAAGGGUGAUUCAUAGCUCUCCUGGGUUAACAGCACAGUCAGUGACAUGGUAGCAGACAAUCUACAGCUUCUUAUUACAGUGUGCUUUUAGCUCAGGGCAAGAAAGGUAUUUCAUUCAGUGCGGUAGCAUGUAUGCCACAUGGCCAUUUGCUCAACACGGUCAAAGAAAGUAUCACUAUACAGGACUUUCUCCAAGUUGGUGAUAACGCAUAUCAAUGACCCCUACCAACCUAAAGCCAUACAGAACUGCACAGUUAGUUAUGUUUGUUUCCCCCAAAAGUUGGAUGUGGAUGUGCUGGGUUGCAUAAGGACAACUGCAACCACUUAUAUUGUAUUGUUCACAGCCCAGCCCCACCCUGCUCCAAAAGGAUUAAUGACGGAAAAAACCCAAAGGGCACAGAACUAAACAACACUCGUUUUUAAUGAAACUUCUCUAUAGUAAAUAAGCAUUGAAAAGAGGCCCAAUUCAGGAUCUUGGGCCCUGGUGCUAUAAGCUUAGAAUCAAAAUAGCCGUAUAAAUGCUCAUCACUACUUCUCUGCAGUGAACUGGCAAGAGCUUUCCUGGUAGAGUUCUUGGGGUUGAGGGUUCUUACUGGACCAGUUUUAAACGUGAGCAAGCGUGUUGUCUUUUUCCUCCGUAAAGAUCUUGCUGGAUUAGCCUGGGGCUUAGGGAAAGGCACCUGCUUUUAAAGAGGCUAAAGCUGAGAGUCCAGAAUGCACAGUCAGGACCUCUGACCAUGUUUGGAAGACCUUUAGAGACGGCUUAUUUUUCUAAACCGGUCUUGAAAGUUGCCCUCCUUGCCUGGCCUCUGGUGUUCCCUCAUCCAGUAUCCUUUGACUCUUUCCUGCGUGCCCCUUCACUGCACAGUUAGGGCAGUAGGUGGCAAAGAGAUCCCAAGCCGAUCGAUUUGUUUUUUAGUGACUUCUGGCUUUGCUGCCAGAAUCAUCCAUUGCCAAACAGUGGCUUGUGUUUGUCUAUGGUGAUGUGUGCACUAAAUAAUGCAGGGGAAUCCAGCAGGUGGUAGAGAAGGCACUGGCUCCUUUUUGUCUUGGCUCUUUGUAAGUGCUGUCCACUGGCAGAUAAACUGUGGUUCUCAGACUCCCUCUCUCACCUAAGCACGCAGACAUGAAGGAAGCUGAGUCCUCAGGUCUCCCUGUGAUCCUGUAUCCAUGGAGGUUACGAGUCCUCACCUUAGAGCUGACUGCCUGAGUUCCUACCCCCGCUCUCCCACUGCUGUGUGGCACAAGGCAAGCAGUUCGACCUCUCUGAUUUCUCCAACUAAAAAAUCGGGGUCAUCCUUAUAAUACCUGCCUCAUAGGGUUCUAGAGAGAAUUAAAAGGGUGAAUAAAGUACUUACAUGUUGAAGCCCUCUUGGCACACACAGUCUCAGAUCUUUCAGCCUUGCAAAACAGCAUUUACAGCUAAACGGCGUUGGGCUGUUUGUCUAGACAGCGCCUCAUUUUUUAAAAAAGGAGAAAACUAAACUCCAAAGAAAAGACAGGCCUUCUCCCAAAGUCCAGGGGCUGUUGGGGACAGAGGGAGAACUGACAUGUGAGCUCCUUGACAUCCAUGUGGUUCCUGGGCAAGGAGAGGAUCAGAUUUCCAGAGUAAACUGGCCGUUUCUUAGACUAGUUUUGUUUGCUUAGGCUUUCGGAAUGGGCAUAAAUGGAAGACUUUAUAGUUUAAGAAUAUAAUGCCAGAGUCAGUGUGUAAACUAGACGGAGACACGGGGAUUUCAGAGGGCAGAGUUCCACGUAGCCGUGGCCCAUACAUCCAGGGCUAUGGAACUGGGCUUUGGUGGUAAACAAUGUUGCAUACGAGGAGCUGGAAGUGGGUUCGCCAGCCCGGGGUUUUAAAAAAAUAAUGACCUGUGGUUGACAUAUGUAUUCAGUUCAGCAGCCAGGCAGUAAAAUGGGUGUCUUUAUUUUAUAGUUCUAUCUCACAUAUUAUCUGGACUAGCCUGGGGCUCAUAUUAUCUACACACAAUCCUCACUACCCCUCCCCUAAAAUCACAACUAUCAUCAACCAAAGGGGGCAUCAUGGCCCCUCUUUACUGCCACUUCCUCCUUCCUCCACGCGUGCCUCCUUCCUGACCGCCUUUUAAUGUCCGCCUCCGUGUGGCUUAGCCUCAAUAUAAAGGCCAGGAUGAGGCACAGUGUGAACUGCCA